RNAcentral lists this ribosomal RNA (472 nucleotides) under uncultured bacterium. Its description in RNAcentral is "bacterial SSU rRNA". It matches the Rfam family "Bacterial small subunit ribosomal RNA", at positions 8 to 526 of the family's 1533-position model. The record is from RNAcentral.
AGGGUUUGAUCAUGGCUCAGAACGAACGCUGGCGGCAGGCCUAACACAUGCAAGUCGAACGGGAUCUUCGGAUCUAGUGGCGGACGGGUUAGUAACGCGUGGGAACGUACCCUUUUCUACGGAAUAGCCUCGGGAAACUGAGAGUAAUACCGUAUACGCCCUUCGGGGGAAAGAUUUAUCGGAGAAGGAUCGGCCCGCGUAAGAUUAGAUAGUUGGUGGGGUAAUGGCCUACCAAGUCUACGAUCUUUAGCUGGUUUGAGAGGAUGAUCAGCAACACUGGGACUGAGACACGGCCCAGACUCCUACGGGAGGCAGCAGUGGGGAAUCUUAGACAAUGGGGGAAACCCUGAUCUAGCCAUGCCGCGUGAGUGACGAAGGCCUUAGGGUCGUAAAGCUCUUUCGCUGGGGAAGAUAAUGACUGUACCCAGUAAAGAAACCCCGGCUAACUCCGUGCCAGCCGCCGCGGUAAUAC